Molecule: ribosomal RNA, 433 nt
Filed under: uncultured bacterium
Lineage: Bacteria
Description: partial 16S ribosomal RNA
Rfam family: Bacterial small subunit ribosomal RNA
Source: RNAcentral
AACGAACGCUGGCGGCAUGCCUAACACAUGCAAGUCGAACGAGACCUUCGGGUCUAGUGGCGCACGGGUUCGUAACGCGUGGGAACCUGCCCUUAGGUUCGGAAUAACUCCCCGAAAGGGGUGCUAAUACCGGAUAAUGUCUUCGGACCAAAGAUUUAUCGCCUUUGGAUGGGCCCGCGUUGGAUUAGCUAGUUGGUAGGGUAAAAGCCUACCAAGGCGACGAUCCAUAGCUGGUCUGAGAGAAUGAUCAGCCACACUGGGACUGAGACACGGCCCAGACUCCUACGGGAGGCAGCAGUGGGGAAUAGUGGACAAUGGGCGAAAGCCUGAUCCAGCAAUGCCGCGUGAGUGAUGAAGGCCUUAGGGUUGUAAAGCUCUUUUAACCGGGAUGAUAAUGACAGUACCGGGAGAAUAAGCUCCGGCUAACUCCGUG